This 776-nucleotide ribosomal RNA is filed under the name uncultured bacterium. Its description in RNAcentral is "bacterial SSU rRNA". It matches the Rfam family "Bacterial small subunit ribosomal RNA", at positions 8 to 796 of the family's 1533-position model. The record is from RNAcentral.
AGAGUUUGAUCAUGGCUCAGGACGAACGCUGGCGGCGUGCUUAACACAUGCAAGUCGAGCGAGGCCCACCUUUCGGGGUGGUGUUCUAGCGGCGAACGGGUGAGUAACACGUGGGCAACCUGCCCUCAGCUCUGGGAUAACUCCAAGAAAUUGGGGCUAAUACCGGAUAUGACUGCUGACCGCAUGGUCUGGUGGUGGAAAGAUUUAUCGGCUGGGGAUGGGCCCGCGGCCUAUCAGCUUGUUGGUGGGGUAGUGGCCUACCAAGGCGACGACGGGUAGCCGGCCUGAGAGGGUGACCGGCCACACUGGGACUGAGACACGGCCCAGACUCCUACGGGAGGCAGCAGUGGGGAAUAUUGCGCAAUGGGCGAAAGCCUGACGCAGCGACGCCGCGUGGGGGAUGACGGCCUUCGGGUUGUAAACCUCUUUCAGCAGGGACGAAGCGAAAGUGACGGUACCUGCAGAAGAAGCACCGGCCAACUACGUGCCAGCAGCCGCGGUAAUACGUAGGGUGCAAGCGUUGUCCGGAAUUAUUGGGCGUAAAGAGCUCGUAGGCGGUUUGUUGCGUCGGCUGUGAAAUCCCGAGGCUCAACCUCGGGUCUGCAGUCGAUACGAGCAAACUAGAGUGUUGCAGGGGAGACUGGAAUUCCUGGUGUAGCGGUGAAAUGCGCAGAUAUCAGGAGGAACACCGGUGGCGAAGGCGGGUCUCUGGGCAACAACUGACGCUGAGGAGCGAAAGCGUGGGGAGCGAACAGGAUUAGAUACCCUAGUAGUCC